Molecule: long non-coding RNA, 539 nt
Organism: Dioscorea cayenensis subsp. rotundata (Guinea yam)
Lineage: Eukaryota; Viridiplantae; Streptophyta; Magnoliopsida; Dioscoreales; Dioscoreaceae
Exons: 4
Source: RefSeq, a predicted model, not a curated record
UGUGGAAGCAGUGGCCAUGACCGUCACGGCUCUUCUUCAACACUAGCAACUCCUCCGAUUUGCAUGUUAUUUGAUUUCAUUAUGAAGCUGCCAAAUGCUAAUGUUGAGAAGAUAUUGACCAAAUACAAGAUAAGAACUAAGAAAAGUGAAUGAAAUUUUCAGUGAGAAGGUUGUUGGUAGGACAUGCUUACAUACAAAGAAAGAAGUCAGUCCCUGCACUUUUUCUAAUCCAGACCUCAUGCAGCUCCAUGUUUUCAGGACUUUUCUCGCGUGAUGAGCACAACUCUAAAGAAGGCCGAUGUGUUCUUCGACUAGUCCAUUUGAGCUCUUCUGUAGCACCAGUUAGGGGUUCCUUGCCUCUGGGUCGCUUGUGUUGUUUGUCUUUUUUAUGUGUGCUUAUUGAGUGUUUCUCCACUUCAUGUGGACACGUUUGUGUCUUUUGUGGGUCUCUUGUUGUAUCGUGGGUGUUUGUGGAUUUUGUGAAUCACUUCAUGUGGUUAUUUUUUUAUUUUUUUUUUCUGUCUAUUUUAAUUGUCUGU